CCCCCUCCUCUCCCCUCCCCUCUUUCUACCCAAUCUGCUGUGACAUGUUUCUCAUUUUUCUUCCCCCUCACACCAUCUUAUAUGUAAUUUUGCAUAACAAUGAGGGGCUCCUACCAUCUUCUGUGCAAUUCCCCUUCUCUCCCAUUCCCACGCACAUAUCAUCCCUAUUUAAUGGUAAUCUUCUCAUGCUCUUCCUCCCUGCUCUGUUUUGAGUCGCUCCCCUUAAAGAAUACAUUCUGCAUGUGUUUUUUAGGGAUUGGCUAGCUUUACUUAGCAUAAUCUGCUCUAAUGCCAUCCAUUUCCCUGCAAAUGCCAUGAUUUUGUUGUUUUUUAGUGCUGAGUAAUAUUCCAUUGUGUAUAAAUGCCACAUUUUUUUUAUCCAUUCAUCUAUUGAAGGGCAUCUGGGUUGGUUCCAAAGUCUAGCUAUUGUGAAUUGUGCUGCUAUGAACAUCGAUGUAGCUGUGUCCCUGUUGUAUGCUCUUUUUAGGUCAUUUGGGUAUAGUCCGAGAAGGGGAAUAGUUGGGUCAAAUGGUGGUUCCAUUCCCACCUUUCCAAGGAAUCUCCAUACUGCUUUCCAAAUUGGCUGAACCAAUUUGCAGUCCCACCAGCAAUGUACAAGUGUACCUUUUCCCCACAUCCUCGCCAGCACUUAUUAUUGUUUGACUUCAUAAUGGCUGCCGUUCUUUCUGGAGUGAGAUGGUAUCUUAGAGUGGUUUUAAUUUGCAUUUCUCUGAUUGCUAGAGAUGGUGAGCAUUUUUUCGUGUAUUUGUUGAUUGAUUGUAUAUCCUCCUCUGAGAAGUGUCGAUGUUCAGAUCCUUGGCCCAUUUGUUUUUUUUUGUUUGUUUGUUUGUUUGUUUUUAAAGAUAGAGUGAAAGAGGGAGGGAGAGAGAGAGAGAGAAUUUUUAAUAUUUUUUUUCAGUUUUCGGCGGACACAACAUCUUUCUUUGUAUGUGGUGCUGAGGAUCGAACCCGGGCCGCAUAAAUGCCAGGCGAGCGCACUACCGCUUGAGCCACAUCCCCAGCCCCUUGGCCCAUUUGUUGAUUGGGUUAUUUGUUUUCUUGUUGUUUAAUUUUUUGAGUUCUUUGUAUACUCUGGAGAUUAGAGCUCUAUCUAAAGUGUGAGGGGUAAAUAUUUGUUCCCAGGAUGUAGGCUCCCUAUUUACCUCUCUUAUUGUUUCUCUUGCUGAGAAAAAACUUUUUAGUUUGAGUAUGUCCCAUUUGUUGAUUCUUGAUUUUAACUCUUGUGCUAUAGGUGUCCUAUUAAGGAAUUUGGAGCCCAACCCCACGAGAUGGAGAUUAGGGCCAACUUUUUCUUCUAUUAGACGCAAACUUUCUGGUUUGAUUCCUAGCUCCUUGAUCCAUUUUGAGUUAACUUUUGUGCAAGGUGAGAGAAAGGGAUUCAAUUUCAUUUUGUUGCAUAUGGAUUUCCAGUUCUCCCCGCACCUUUUGUUGAAGAUGCUAUCCUUUCUCCAUUGCAUGCUUUUGGCUCCUUUGUCUAAUAUAAGGUAGUUAAUUUUGUGGAUUGGUCUCUGUGUCCUCUAUUCUGUACCAUUGGUCUACCUGCCUGUUUUGGUACCAUUACCAUGCUGUUUUUGUUACUGUUGCUCUGUAAUAUAGUUUAAA
RNAcentral lists this long non-coding RNA (1623 nucleotides) under Marmota monax (woodchuck). Lineage: Eukaryota; Metazoa; Chordata; Mammalia; Rodentia; Sciuridae. The record is from RNAcentral.